GAAAUGCGAUAAGUAAUGUGAAUUGCAGAAUUCAGUGAAUCAUCGAAUCUUUGAACGCACAUUGCGCCCGCCAGUAUUCUGGCGGGCAUGCCUGUCCGAGCGUCAUUUCAACCCUCAGAACCCCUUGCGGGAUCUGGCGUUGGGGAUUGGCAUCCAGCCAGCCCCGAAAUCUAGUGGCGGUCCCUCCGCGACCUCCCCUGUGCAGUAGCGAUACCUCGCAGCGGGACAGCGGUCUGACCACGCCGUAAAACCCCCAACUUCUCAAGGUUGACCUCGAAUCAGGUAGGAAUACCCGCUGAACUUAAGC
This 307-nucleotide unclassified non-coding RNA is filed under the name plant metagenome. RNAcentral describes it as "partial contains 5.8S ribosomal RNA, internal transcribed spacer 2, and large subunit ribosomal RNA". The stretch from base 1 to 105 matches the Rfam family "5.8S ribosomal RNA", at positions 50 to 154 of the family's 154-position model. The record is from RNAcentral.